GACGAACGCUGGCGGCGUGCUUAACACAUGCAAGUCGAACGAAGAGCGAUGGAAGCUUGCUUCUCUCAAUCUUAGUGUCGAACGGGUGAGUAACGCGUAAUCAACCUGCCCUUCAGAGGGGGACAACAGUUGGAAACGACUGCUAAUACCGCAUACGAUCUGACCUCGGCAUCGAGGAUAGAUGAAAGGUGGCCUCUAUUUAUAAGCUAUCACUGAAGGAGGGGAUUGCGUCUGAUUAGCUAGUUGGAGGGGUAACGGCCCACCAAGGCGAUGAUCAGUAGCCGGUCUGAGAGGAUGAACGGCCACAUUGGGACUGAGACACGGCCCAGACUCCUACGGGAGGCAGCAGUGGGGAAUCUUCCGCAAUGGACGAAAGUCUGACGGAGCAACGCCGCGUGAGUGAUGACGGCCUUCGGGUUGUAAAGCUCUGUUAAUCGGGACGAAAGGCCUUCUUGCGAAUAGUUAGAAGGAUUGACGGUACCGGAAUAGAAAGCCACGGCUAACUACGUG
This 510-nucleotide ribosomal RNA is filed under the name uncultured bacterium. RNAcentral describes it as "partial 16S ribosomal RNA". It matches the Rfam family "Bacterial small subunit ribosomal RNA", at positions 28 to 507 of the family's 1533-position model. The record is from RNAcentral.